GCGGGUCUAAGCUCAUGUAUCGCUCUGUUCUCCUCAGGGGCUUCUGGACACUCUGGUGAGGGCUUUUAACGCGAUGGGAUAAAGUCAAAAUAAAUCACCAAGCCAAGGGGUAGAAGUGCACCUCUCAUCCACAGUGAUCUCAGUGAUAUGACAACCAACUUGCCAAUUGUCAAAUCAGUGAACAGCCAGCCAGUGAAACUCUAAUGCCCCUCAGCCCACACCCACUGCAACACCGGUCUGACAGGUAUCCAUGGCUUUGGAGCUGUAUGUUUCUGAGGAGCAGUUACUGAACUGUUGUUUCUUGAUGCCCUUCUUUUCUUUCUCUGCUGUCCACUCACCCCAACUCGUCGAGGCAGACGGCCACACACCAAGACCCUGGUUCUAUUGGAGGUUUCUUCUUUUAAAGAGAGUUUUUCCUCCCCACUGGCACCUGGUGCUUGUUGUUUUUUUUUUCUGUAAUACUGUCUUGACCUUACUAUGUUCAGCAUGUUAACAUGGUUUUUGUUGCAAGUUGACACUAUAUAAAUGAAACUGAAUUGAACAGAAUAUGUACUUUAUAAUAUCAUGUAUAGCUCAUUGCUUUGUGAACACAAAUAUAAAACUUUAUGACUGUUUGUUUUUUGGUGUCACCAGUCAAGACAAGUCAAAUUCCAUUUAUAUCACCCAGUAUCACAAAUCACAAAUUUGUCUCAAAGGGCCUUACAAUCUGUACAACAUGUGAGCAGGAGGGGAGGCAUCCAUUUUCCAGGACAGUUACAUGCAAUAGAUGUCAUGUGUACAGGAUAAAUUCAGAGGAUAAUAUGGCAGUGAUGGUAAUAUCAAGUAAUAGUCAUUUGUGCAUUGGAAGCACAGGGCCGUGUUCAUUGCUAGACUGUACUAUAUGAGGAGUUAGGCAGAUCCCUUUUUGUGAGUGUCUCUAUUUUCAGUGUGUGUGUUUGUUCUGUCUAAAAAAAUCUUGUCCCGGGACAGUUCUUGUAAGCAUAACUGCUCUGUCUGGUAAACCAAGAGGAGCAAAUAAGUGUCAUCGAGCACCGCUCGAGCUGACCAACACAGUUAAGGGUUUUGUUUAGGGCAUCUUGACUUCCCAAACAAAAGCUACUGACUAUAAUGUAUUUUAGUAGUAUUAUUUAUUUCUCAGUAACUGCUCUUUUUGCAUAAAGCCGGAGACAAAUGCUUCGCAUGAGCUCUACAAUGGUGUGAAAAUUCUUUGCAUGACAAUAAUUGUUGUAACUACUUCAUAUGAGCCCUUUAAAGAAAAGGA
Long non-coding RNA from Monopterus albus (swamp eel), 1261 nucleotides. RefSeq lists it as uncharacterized. The record is from RefSeq and is a predicted model, not a curated record. Lineage: Eukaryota; Metazoa; Chordata; Actinopteri; Synbranchiformes; Synbranchidae. The transcript is spliced from 3 exons.